This 253-nucleotide ribosomal RNA is filed under the name uncultured bacterium. RNAcentral's name for it is "partial 16S ribosomal RNA". It matches the Rfam family "Bacterial small subunit ribosomal RNA", at positions 524 to 776 of the family's 1533-position model. The record is from RNAcentral.
UACAGAGGGUGCGAGCGUUGUUCGGAAUUAUUGGGCGUAAAGGGCGCGUAGGCGGUGCGGUAAGUCACUUGUGAAAUCUCCUGGCUCAACUGGGAGCUUGCAGGCGAAACUGCCGUGCUGGAGUGUGGGAGAGGUGCGUGGAAUUCCUGGUGUAGCGGUGAAAUGCGUAGAUAUCAGGAGGAACACCUGUGGCGAAAGCGGCGCACUGGACCACAACUGACGCUGAGGCGCGAAAGCUAGGGGAGCAAACAGG